GGAAUAUUUUUGCCAUCUUUAACGAGGCGCGAUAAAGCAACCAGGGGCGGGGGGGGGGGGGGGGGGGGGAAGAAAAAUAGGAGGACGCAGCAUGCGGGAGGCGGCAGACGAGGCUUUAAAUGAGGCGCACAAGUGGACGAUUUGCAACUCGGGACGCUUAGUUUUCUUACAAAAAGAAAAAGAACUGCAAUAUAGCUGAAUCAAGUAUUUCUUUUGCGUGUUUUUCUCUCUCUCUCAAUUUCUCUUCUCUAAAUUUGUUCCGAUAGGUGCUGCGGUGGUCCCCGGUGCGGGCUGCGACGCGACGCCGCCUCCCCCUCGCUUCAUCCCGGCCGGGACGAUCGGCUCGGCCCCUCCUCCCUCCCUCCCUCCUCCUCCCUCCCUCCCUCCCUCCCUCGGUCGCCCCACCCCAGAAACACGAGCACAACUUCAAAUCGAUAUCGAAUACGAACGACUCCUGCUCACGCGUGACUAUGGUUUGGUUGCCCAAAGUUUUUCGCCCCCUCCCUCUUUUCCUUCCAGCCUGAUCUCAAGCUGAGGACGCGAUCGGCGUCCACGUCCACGGUCACAGGACUCGGCUUAGCGCUGUAGCCGCGGCGGUGUGAUUUUCAUGUUUGCGGCUCACAUUUCCGACAAGGGGUGUUAAAAUCGCGCCGAGGAAUAGUGGGCGGCAUUGUGAUGGGUUCUCGCGGCUCCUGCCGCUGGUUCUGCCGCGCACGAUUCGAGACGCCUAAUCCGACCUGCAGAAAGCUGACAUCGUGAUCCUAAGCCGCCUUCGCUGCAAAUCAUUGUGGAAUUCAAAACUUUUCCUUCGCCCUCUCUCUCUUAGAUGUGCCGCUGAGCACCGAGUGACCGCCGAGCGUGCGUGCGUAAAAGCAACAUCGCGCACGGACAUUUACGCACAACGUUGAGGCCAUCCGGUUGCACCGGGAGGACAUUCGGAUGCGGGCACGGGCGCGCGCUCCUCCCUGACGCACACGCGCACAGGGAUGUGCGUGCCCGCGUGGCCACGUCGUGCACACGUGGAGCAACACGCGGCGGCGGCAGCGGCAGGGACGUCUGACCCCGAACCGGUGUUGUGUGGACUCGGAUCCCGUACAAAAUGUGCAAAUUCAACAGCGUCACCAUGGCCAGAGCGCUGGCCCUUUGAUGGCAGCAUCUGAUUGGUUGGUCAGCGCAAAACUUGUGACAACCGACUUCAGGCAGCAAAACACACCUGGAGAAAUCUGCAUAAAUGAAUACAUUUAAUAAUCUCCAUCUCUGGUGAGUAUGAUGUACAUUAAGUUAUAUAAUUUGUGUAUGUUUUUGUCACUUAUUAGCUACAGUAAUAAUAUUGAUUCUGAACUGCUCCAAAUGAUGUUCAUGGCACAAUUAAUUGUCUGUACAUUUUUGUAUGCCACUGAUGGCUUUCUAAAAUAUCGACUUACUAAAAGUUGUGUUAAGUCGGACCAGGUACCAAAUGUACACACACACACACACACACACAGACAAAAUAUGAAACUCCAGCAGCAGAGUCCCACUGGUGUCGCUCUCUCAAUCAAAUUCACUAAAGCCUGGGCCAAUCAUUUUUACACUUUUUAUUCAUAAGGCGAUAUUGGGACUACCACCUUCAUACAUUUGUACCUUCAUUACUCUGAGAAAAGCUGUAUCUUAUCCACCAUAUUCCUUGUGGCGCUCAUGGCCAAAGUAUUAUGGGCGUGACUUGGCUGAUAGUGUAUAGUAUAGCAUAUAGUAUAGUAUAGUAUACAGACUUGUUCUUCCACACCAAACUCAUUCAUACACGCUUUGCUUUUGGAAGAGAAAAACUGUUCCCCAAAAGUUGGAAUGGUCCCAAAAGGUCUUGUUUUUGGGACUAAUCCAACGUCUUCACGAUUAAUCAACUGAUUCAGAAAAAGUAUGUGUCAAAGUUUUUGUGUAGCUAUCCCUUUUUUAACCAUGGAAAAUACAAAAAGUAUCCCUGGAAUUGCGUUACGAGUAGAUUGCAUCCAAACAUUGCAGUAACACACACGGCAUUCAUUAAUUCAUUCACACCUUGAGUUGUAAUGUGAGAAAACGCCGAUUUUUUUUUUACAUUAUGCGGUUGCCAACCACGGCGAGAGCACUUAACUAAGCUAUGGUGCUGACGCAUGCCGUUGCCUUGACGAACAAUCAGCGGUAAAACACACCAUGUACUUGGACCAUGUUGAAAAUUAGAUGCACGCACACAUACGCGUCCCCGCACACACACCCACACACACACAAAUUACUUUUGCUGCGGGUAAGUGGUUUCUUUUAUGACACUGGAUGCCCUAAUCCCCAUUUUUUUUUUUUUUUUUUUUACUGAAUACAUAUUUCAUUUAGGAUUAGCACAACAACCGAUACGCUUGUUUUCAGAAUAUUUCGCCAUACGUUGCAUAAUAUUACCUUGGCCCAAAUGCAUUCAUAAUAAUAAUAAAGUCCCUUGUAUUGUUUAA
Phyllopteryx taeniolatus (common seadragon) is the source of this 2450-nucleotide long non-coding RNA. RefSeq lists it as uncharacterized. The record is from RefSeq and is a predicted model, not a curated record. Lineage: Eukaryota; Metazoa; Chordata; Actinopteri; Syngnathiformes; Syngnathidae. The transcript has 4 exons.